GAUGCCAUGAAACAAGGGAUGCCAGGGUGGAAAAGGAAUGAGUGUUUAACAACAUAUGGCACCAUAUCAGCCCCAAACUGAUGGAUUCCACUCCUCUUGAAAUCUUAGAUCACAGACUGGCCUCCUUCUUGGUGUCAGCAACAUGGAUCUUAUCCAGCCAGACAAUAUCCAGAAGAAUAUAAAAUCCCUAUCUUCCUGUGACACAGGAGUAUGGAAACCAUUUCCAGACCUAUCUUUGGAGUCAUUUCCAGGGAAGGGAAGGAACAACACACUGAAUGAGGACAUGUCCAUCUCAGGGGAGCCAGGACUUUUUCUCAGUAAGCCCUGAUAACUUGAUGUGAGAAGGCCAAGAAGAAGCCUAUGGAGAUGCCCACAAGAGGAGACUAAAGCUGAGAGAAACUGAGGCCCCUGGCCCUAGAGCUUUCACUGAGCUCCAGCUGACAACCAUCAUCAAAUCACCAGCCAUGUGACUGUGCCAUGAUGGGAGGGAAUCACCCAGUGUCCAAAUGAUCUGAUGCCACAUGUAAAAGAGAAGAGCCUUCCCCUUUGAGCCCUGCCCAGAUUGCUACUCUGCACCAA
Molecule: long non-coding RNA, 579 nt
Organism: Pan troglodytes (chimpanzee)
Lineage: Eukaryota; Metazoa; Chordata; Mammalia; Primates; Hominidae
Exons: 4
Source: RefSeq, a predicted model, not a curated record